Molecule: ribosomal RNA, 909 nt
Filed under: Hypotrachyna endochlora
Lineage: Eukaryota; Fungi; Ascomycota; Lecanoromycetes; Lecanorales; Parmeliaceae
Description: eukaryotic LSU rRNA
Rfam family: Eukaryotic large subunit ribosomal RNA
Source: RNAcentral
GGGAUUGCCUNAGUAACGGCGAGUGAAGCGGCAACAGCUCAAAUUUGAAAUCUGGCCCUUUCAGGGUCCGAGUUGUAAUUUGUAGAGAGUGUUUCGGGGGAGACCAUGGUCUAAGUCUAUUGGAACAUUACGUCAUAGAGGGUGAGAACCCCGUAUGCGACCGUGGCUCGAACCCAUGUGAAGCCUCUUCGACGAGUCGAGUUGUUUGGGAAUGCAGCUCAAAAUGGGUGGUAAAUUUCAUCUAAAGCUAAAUACUGGCUGGAGACCGAUAGCGCACAAGUAGAGUGAUCGAAAGAUGAAAAGCACUUUGGAAAGAGAGUCAAACAGUACGUGAAAUUGUUGAAAGGGAAGCGCUGGCAACCAGACCUGUCCGUAGGCGAUCAGCCGCUGUUUUCAGCGGUGCACUCGUUCUGCGAUCAGGCCAGCAUCGGUUUCGGCGGUCGGAUAAAGGCUCGGGGAACGUAGCUCCCUCUCGGGGGAGUGUUAUAGCCCCGGGCGCAAUGCGGCCAGCCGGGACCGAGGACCGCGCAUUUAUGCUAGGAUGCUGGCGUAAUGGUUGUCAGCGACCCGUCUUGAAACACGGACCAAGGAGUCUAACAUCUAUGCGAGUGUUUGGGUGUCAAACCCAUGCGCGGAAUGAAAGUGAACGGAGGUGAGAACCCUUUAGGGCGCAUCAUCGACCGAUCCAGAAGUUUACGGAUGGAUUUGAGUAUGAGCAUAGCUGUUGGUACCCGAAAGGUAUGUCUAUAUCCCCAUUCUCCUAUAUGGAAUUCUUAGCUAACUUUUUUUCGAAAGAUGGUGAACUAUGCCUGAAUAGGGUGAAGCCAGAGGAAACUCUGGUGGAGGCUCGCAGCGGUUCUGACGUGCAAAUCGAUCGUCAAAUUUGGGUAUAGGGGCGAAAGACUAAUC